RNAcentral lists this ribosomal RNA (480 nucleotides) under uncultured bacterium. RNAcentral describes it as "bacterial SSU rRNA". It matches the Rfam family "Bacterial small subunit ribosomal RNA", at positions 28 to 524 of the family's 1533-position model. The record is from RNAcentral.
GACGAACGCUGGCGGCGUGCUUAACACAUGCAAGUCGAGCGGAAAGGCCCUUCGGGGUACUCGAGCGGCGAACGGGUGAGUAACACGUGGGUAACCUGCCCUUCACUCUGGGACAACUCCGGGAAACCGGGGCUAAUACCGGAUAUGACCCUUUGAGGCAUCUCUCGGGGUGGAAAGUUUUUCGGUGAAGGAUGGACCCGCGGCCUAUCAGCUUGUUGGUGGGGUAAUGGCCUACCAAGGCAGUGACGGGUAGCCGGCCNGAGAGGGCGACCGGCCACACUGGGACUGAGACACGGCCCAGACUCCUACGGGAGGGCAGCAGUGGGGGAACAUUGCGCAAUGGGCGGAAGCCUGACGCAGCGACGCCGCGUGAGGGAUGACGGUCUUCGGAUUGUAAACCUCUUUCAGCAGGGACGAAGCGCAAGUGACGGUACCUGCAGAAGAAGCACCGGCCAACUACGUGCCAGCCGCCGCCGUAAU